Molecule: small nucleolar RNA, 96 nt
Organism: Rhinichthys klamathensis goyatoka
Lineage: Eukaryota; Metazoa; Chordata; Actinopteri; Cypriniformes; Leuciscidae
Product: small nucleolar RNA U13
Exons: 1
Source: RefSeq, a predicted model, not a curated record
AUCCUUCUGGUUCGUAUACAGUGAUGAUUGGUCUGAUCACGCGUGUGUGUGACAUGUGCAGCCGCUGUUACGACUGAGCACAUCGACCUUCUGAUC